Molecule: transfer RNA, 76 nt
Filed under: Roseivivax marinus
Lineage: Bacteria; Pseudomonadati; Pseudomonadota; Alphaproteobacteria; Rhodobacterales; Roseobacteraceae
Also listed under: 1 other name
Description: tRNA-Lys
Rfam family: tRNA
About the family: Transfer RNA (tRNA) molecules are approximately 80 nucleotides in length. Their secondary structure includes four short double-helical elements and three loops (D, anti-codon, and T loops).
Source: RNAcentral
GGGCCGUUAGCUCAGUCGGUAGAGCAACUGACUUUUAAUCAGUGGGUCGCAGGUUCGAAUCCUGCACGGCUCACCA